Molecule: RNA transcript, 2677 nt
Organism: Cebus imitator (Panamanian white-faced capuchin)
Lineage: Eukaryota; Metazoa; Chordata; Mammalia; Primates; Cebidae
Exons: 4
Source: RefSeq, a predicted model, not a curated record
GCAACUCAUGAUAUGCAGUCUCCAAGAUGAAAACAAAAGUGAGAAACAAAUACAUCAGAUGAUGCUAUGCAGUUAUGAAGGAAAAACGUGUGUUGCCAGGACCCCAACAUUUGUGCAGUGUUUGCUGUACAAGGAGGAAAAAUGGAAAGAAAGCAUGGCAUAAAAGGGGGAAAGAGACUCUGCAUGAGAAGCCCAGCUCAGCAGGCCAGAGGACCCUGGAUCUGUGAAAGUAAGCAUCCAGCCUUUGCAAAGCAGCAGGCAAACUUAGAGAUGCCCAACUUCAGAGUGAUGGCAGAGUGAGCCUGGGUCUGCAGGUCCCUAACUCUUUCCACUGCUCCACUGAGCCCCCCACCAUCCUUUAUGCCAGCACUGUGAAGAUUGUUCUUGCCUCCCCUGCUGUCAUUCAGUAACCUCUACAAUCUGGCCCCAGUAGAAAGAACUUGCCAACAACAUAUCAAUAGCAGAGAUGAAAGUCUGGUCAUAUGGUACCCACAUCUAUUGAAGUAGUCAUGCUGAUACCAGAUAUCCCUGGUUCUCUGUCUUUGAGGCACAUGGUAGAACUAUACUUUCUAGUUUUCUGUGUGGCUGGGUGGGUCAUAUGACAAGUUCAGACAAAUGAGUUAUGAUUAGAAACAUUUAAUCGUUAAUACAUAUUCUAGCACUCUUUCCUUCUGCCACCAUAACUGAUCAUGUUUCAGACAGUGACUUCUCCAUCAGGCUGGUUCCAGAGUGAAAAUAGAGCCUAAUAGAGUCUGUAGUUGAUACAAUAUGGACAUGCAGGGUGAAUGAGAAAAUGCUUUUGUUGGGUUAAGCACCUGAGGUUUGAUGGUUUGUUGCUCCUGCAGCACAACCUUACCUAUCCUAACUAAUAUGAUUAUCAUUGACUAACCUGACAACAGAAGAGUCUCUCUACUUCUACUGUGAUGAGGAACAGAGUUUUACCUAUUAUAUCUUAAUAGCAGCAGCCUCUGGAAGUAGUUAUAUCUCUACCACUUCUUACCCAUGUGGCAUAAAGCCAGCUAUAAACCUCUCCAGGUUUCAGUUUUCCCUUUUAAAAGUAGGAGUAAGUAAGACCUUUCUCAUGGAGUUGUUGAUCAAAUGAAAUAAUUAAAUAACGAGUAUUUAAAUUUUGAAUUUUAAUGACAAUUCAAAUGAAAUAAUGUCUAUGAAGUAUUUAUUUAGUCCAUAAUAUCCUCAGUAAAUGGUAGUUAGUCUUACUAACACAAAAGAAAUUGACAAAGCCAUGCCAUGCUCAAUACGGUUUCUAGAACCAUAUUAUCUCUAAAAAUCCCAACUUUCCGCUGUAAGUUUGAGCUAAAGAUUAGUAGAAAAUUUGGCAGAACAGGCUAAUCAAUUCCAAUGGUCUAUUCUUCUUGUUAAGUUUAGCUAUCAGUCAUCUUUUGAUGAAAACAAAGCCAGCCUAGCUGUUUGUAAGCAAGCCUCUACAAAGACAGAAACUGUCUUAUAUUUCUUUGAAUAUCUCCUAUGGCCUCUCACAUACGCCUUGGCUAUAUUUCUGGAUCUUUAUUUAAUUGUUUUGAACGCUUCUUAUGUUUAACUUCUGCCAUCUCCAUUAGGAAAACAACAUAAUCUUUCCUUCAGUGCUGUUGGCAUAAGCCCCCAUGACCAGGCAACAUUUGCCCCAUGUUUAAAGAAUGCAGUUGUGUAAGGUUGGUUGACCAUCUGACAGGAAUUCCUGCACUGAGUGGUCAGUCAGUGGAGAUCUCUUUCCACUGGUAACUUUAUCAAGAAAGCUAGAUCCAAGACUGUAUAUCAGGUAUAUUUUCAUGUGUGAAAUCAAGGGAUAGAAAAUAACUGGAAGGAAAUAUUCCAAAACAUUAGCAGUUGUUUCUCCCGGAAAGUGUGAUGUAUACAGUUGGAUGGGUGAUAUGUAUAGUACUUUCCAUAGUCCUGGUCAAGAGAUAUUUUGGAGGGCUCCACAUACCACAGUCACCCACAAAUAAAUAUAAUAAAGAACACACAGAUGCCUUUAUCACUCAGGAUGUGGCACCCAGAGCUGGCCCAGCAUAGUCUAUAAUACUUAACAUCGCUCUCAUGACCACACUCUUCAGGUGCCAGGGAAAUGAACCUCUAUAUCACUUCCCUGUAUCCUUAAAAGAAAAGGCGGCCUAAUUUGAAAGCUGAUAAAAAUCAGGAAUUAUGAUGAUGUUGCUUUAGAAUAUUUGGAGGAUGUAAGAGAAAAAGAGUGCUGGGUUAUGAGAAUAACCAAACUUAUCAAAUUCCUCCCUAAAGGUAACAUAAAUACAAUAGAUGCUUUUACAACAAAGUGUCAUUUCUCAAUAAUGCCAAGAAUCCUUUUUCACGCUUCUUUUCUUGUUCAAAUUCCUGGUUCCCAUGCUACUCCAUUAGCAUAAUAUUCAGAAAAGUUGCAGGUGGUGAUUUAGGAACAUUUUGUAAUAUUAGCAUUUCAUAUUACCCUUAAAUUUGCAUGCAUGUAUCAUAUGUGUAUCAUGGUACCAAUUCUUUAUAUUGGUAACUAGGUGGGCAUAGAAUGUUUACAAUGUGAAUAAUGUUAUCUCUAUAAAAAUAACAUUUAUUUAAAAUGUUAAUAUAUGAAAUAAAAUUUUGGCAUAUAUUAACUAUAACUUGUAUUAUACCUUUUAAAGUUAAUAGAUUAUUUUGAAUAUUUUAAAAGACUUUUAGAAACAUAUAAAAU